RNAcentral lists this ribosomal RNA (1449 nucleotides) under uncultured organism. RNAcentral's name for it is "SSU rRNA". It matches the Rfam family "Bacterial small subunit ribosomal RNA". The record is from RNAcentral.
UGAACGCUAGCGACAGGCUUAACACAUGCAAGUCGAGGGGCAGCACAGGUAGCAAUACCGGGUGGCGACCGGCGCACGGGUGAAUAACGCGUAUGCAACUUGCCUAUCAGAGGGGGAUAACCCGGCGAAAGUCGGACUAAUACCGCAUGAAGCAGGGAUCCCGCAUGGGAAUAUUUGCUAAAGAUUCAUCGCUGAUAGAUAGGCAUGCGUUCCAUUAGGCAGUUGGCGGGGUAACGGCCCACCAAACCGACGAUGGAUAGGGGUUCUGAGAGGAAGGUCCCCCACAUUGGUACUGAGACACGGACCAAACUCCUACGGGAGGCAGCAGUGAGGAAUAUUGGUCAAUGGGCGUAAGCCUGAACCAGCCAAGUCGCGUGAGGGAUGAAGGUUCUAUGGAUCGUAAACCUCUUUUAUAAGGGAAUAAAGUGCGGGACGUGUCCCGUUUUGUAUGUACCUUAUGAAUAAGGAUCGGCUAACUCCGUGCCAGCAGCCGCGGUAAUACGGAGGAUCCGAGCGUUAUCCGGAUUUAUUGGGUUUAAAGGGUGCGUAGGCGGCCUUUUAAGUCAGCGGUGAAAGUCUGUGGCUCAACCAUAGAAUUGCCGUUGAAACUGGGGGGCUUGAGUAUGUUUGAGGCAGGCGGAAUGCGUGGUGUAGCGGUGAAAUGCAUAGAUAUCACGCAGAACCCCGAUUGCGAAGGCAGCCUGCCAAGCCAUUACUGACGCUGAUGCACGAAAGCGUGGGGAUCAAACAGGAUUAGAUACCCUGGUAGUCCACGCAGUAAACGAUGAUCACUAGCUGUUUGCGAUACACUGUAAGCGGCACAGCGAAAGCGUUAAGUGAUCCACCUGGGGAGUACGCCGGCAACGGUGAAACUCAAAGCAAUUGACGGGGGCCCGCACAAGCGGAGGAACAUGUGGUUUAAUUCGAUGAUACGCGAGGAACCUUACCCGGGUUUGAACGCAUUCGGACCGAGGUGGAAACACCUUUUCUAGCAAUAGCCGUUUGCGAGGUGCUGCAUGGUUGUCGUCAGCUCGUGCCGUGAGGUGUCGGCUUAAGUGCCAUAACGAGCGCAACCCUUGCCACUAGUUACUAACAGGUAAAGCUGAGGACUCUGGUGGGACUGCCAGCGUAAGCUGCGAGGAAGGCGGGGAUGACGUCAAAUCAGCACGGCCCUUACAUCCGGGGCGACACACGUGUUACAAUGGCGUGGACAAAGAGAAGCCACCUGGCGACAGGGAGCGAAUCCCCAAACCACGUCUCAGUUCGGAUCGGAGUCUGCAACCCGACUCCGUGAAGCUGGAUUCGCUAGUAAUCGCGCAUCAGCCAUGGCGCGGUGAAUACGUUCCCGGGCCUUGUACACACCGCCCGUCAAGCCAUGGGAGCCGGGGGUACCUGAAGUCCGUAACCGCGAGGAUCGGCCUAGGGUAAAACUGGUGACUGGGGCUAAGU